This 557-nucleotide long non-coding RNA is filed under the name Zea mays. RNAcentral's name for it is "long non-coding RNA (ZMAY_LNC005373)". Lineage: Eukaryota; Viridiplantae; Streptophyta; Magnoliopsida; Poales; Poaceae. The record is from RNAcentral.
CGAAAGUGUCAACAGCGAAUCUUGUUGCUCAGCUAUUGCAGACUUCCUACAAGGUAGAAGAAGGCUAAAAAGCCAAAUGAGGAGCUCAUUGAGCAUGUUCACAACAAAUCUUGCUGCUAAGCUAUUAUAGACUUCAUAGAUGGUAGAAAGCUAGGAGCCAAGUGAGGAGCUCAUUGAGCAUGUUCCCUUAAUUUCGCCAGUCUGAAGGUGUAUUGUAUGCAUCAUCCCCACAUGCAGCUUCAUCAAUUCCACCACUCUCGAUUACUUCUUCGGGGUCAGGGGGAAAGCCCUGGAUCUGGCCCUCCUGCUGCAUAAGAAGUACGAACAUUGAACAUAUAUCAAUAUAAUGGCCAACAAAGGACUAAACAUAAGCUCCACUCAGGCUAUAAGUGUAGAGACCCCAUUUAGGGCUAGUUUAACUGGAGAGGAUUGAAGGGGUUAAAACCCCUUUUCUUAUUCAAAAUUAAAUAAGAAAGAAUUUUAGUCCCUCCAUUUCCCUCCGGUAUUUUAGCUUCCAAGCUAGCGGCAGGCCACUUACCAACAGGUCUCAUUGGUAG